AGAUCACAAUCUGUUCUUAAAUUUGUUUCAUGUCCUGAGGACUUGACUUAAUAAUUUUCAGGGUGGAGGUCCCAAAAUAUGGUCAGACAAAAUGCAGUUUGACCCCAUUUUGUGGUCAGAGAUAGUCAGAGAGAAAUAUGGGUUGCAUUCCAUUUGUGGCUAAGGGUCCUGCCAAGCUGCCACCAGCCUCAGGGGAAUUACAUUGGCCAUUAAAAGGAAC
Non-coding RNA from Ceratotherium simum simum (southern white rhinoceros), 220 nucleotides. The record is from RefSeq and is a predicted model, not a curated record. Lineage: Eukaryota; Metazoa; Chordata; Mammalia; Perissodactyla; Rhinocerotidae.